GUUCCACCUCACUCCGCCCCCUCCCCCUACCGCAGUCUUCCAUUUCCGUUUCCGGUGCGGGCCGCGCGCUAGCGCAGCGGUGGGAGGCUGCAACCAGCCGGUUGAGGCCCCAGGCUUGGCCUCACCACAAUGUGGCACGAGGCUAGGAAGCAUGAGCGGAAGCUUCGAGGCAUGAUGGUCGACUACAAGAAGCGGGCAGAGCGGAGACGGGAGUAUUAUGAAAAGAUUAAGAAGGACCCAGCACAGUUCCUGCAGGUACAUGGCCGAGCUUGCAAGGUACACCUGGAUUCUGCAGUCGCCCUGGCCGCUGAGAGCCCCGUUAACAUGAUGCCCUGGCAGGGGGACACCAACAACAUGAUCGAUCGCUUCGAUGUCCGUGCCCACCUGGAUCACAUCCCCGACUACAACCCCCCGCUGCUCACCACCAUCUCCCCAGAACAGGAGUCGGACGAACGGAAGUGUAACUACGAGCGCUACCGAGGUCUGGUGCAGAACGACUUUGCCGGCAUCUCAGAGGAGCAGUGCCUGUACCAGAUCUACAUUGAUGAGUUGUACGGAGGCCUCCAGAGACCCAGUGAAGAUGAGAAGAAGAAGGCCCUGGCUCAGCAGCUCUCCCAUCCCAGGCUGGCAGAGAAGAAGGCUUCCAUCGGUUACACCUACGAGGACAGCACGGUGGCCGAAGUAGAGAAGGCGGCAGAAAAGCCAGAGGAGGAGGAGUCACCGGCCGAGGAGGAGAGCAACUCGGACGAAGAUGAGGUCAUCCCCGACAUCGACGUGGAGGUGGACGUGGAUGAACUGAACCAGGAGCAGGUGGCAGAUCUCAACAAACAGGCCACUACUUAUGGCAUGGCCGACGGCGACUUCGUCAGGAUGCUUCGGAAAGACAAAGAGGAGGCAGAGGCCAUCAAGCAUGCCAAGGCCCUUGAGGAGGAGAAGGCCAUGUACUCGGGACGCCGGUCUCGACGCCAGCGGAGAGAGUUUCGGGAGAAGCGGCUGAGGGGUCGCAAGAUCAGCCCACCCAGCUAUGCCCGCCGAGACAGCCCCACCUAUGACCCCUAUAAGCGGUCGCCCUCGGAGUCCAGCUCGGAGUCCCGCUCCCGCUCCCGCUCCCCCACCCCUGGCCGUGAGGAGAAGAUCACGUUCAUCACCAGUUUUGGGGGCAGCGAUGAGGAGGCAGCCGCAGCCGCUGCUGCCGCAGCUGCAUCAGGGGUCGCCACAGGGAAGCCCCCCGCACCCCCCCAGCCUGGCGGCCCUACCCCGGGACGUAAUGCCAACGCCCGCCGCCGCUCCUCCUCCUCCUCCUCCUCUUCCGCCUCGAGGACCUCCAGCUCCCGCUCCAGCUCUCGUUCCAGCUCUCGCUCGCGCCGUGGCGGGGGCUACUACCGUUCAGGCCGCCACGCCCGCUCCCGGUCCCGCUCCUGGUCCCGCUCCCGCUCCCGGUCCCGCCGCUAUUCCCGGUCCCGCAGCCGUGGCCGACGGCACUCAGGUGGGGGCUCCCGAGAUGGACACCGCUACUCCCGCUCGCCCGCCAGGCGUGGUGGUUACGGUCCCCGUCGCAGAAGCAGGAGCCACUCCCACUCAGGGGACCGCUACAGGCGUGGCGGCCGGGGCCUCAGGCACCACAGCAGUAGCCACAGCCGCAGCAGCUGGUCCCUCAGCCCAUCCCGCAGUCGCAGCGUGACCCGCAGCCGCAGCCACAGCCCCAGCCCCAGCCAGAGCCGCAGCCGGAGCCGCAGCCGGAGCCGCAGCCAGAGCCCCUCGCCAUCACCCGCAAGAGAGAAGCUGACCAGGCCGGCGGCGUCCCCUGCUGUGGGCGAGAAGCUGAAAAAGACCGAACCUGCCGCUGGUAAAGAGACAGGAGCUGCCAAAGUCACCCAAGCUGACGCCGCAGGAGAAGCUGAAGCUGAGGAUGCAGAAGGCGCUGAACAGGCAGUUCAAGGCGGAUAAGAAGGCGGCACAGGAGAAGAUGAUCCAGCAGGAGCAUGAGCGGCAGGAGCGGGAAGACGAGCUUCGAGCCAUGGCCCGCAAGAUCCGGAUGAAGGAGCGGGAACGCCGAGAGAAGGAGAGAGAAGAGUGGGAGCGCCAGUACAGCCGCCAGAGCCGCUCACCCUCCCCCCGCUACAGUCGAGAAUAUAGCUCUUCUCGAAGGCGCUCAAGGUCCCGAUCUCGAAGCCCCCAUUACCGACACUAGGCGAAGAGUAGGCGGUGGGGAGGACAAGGGGGUGGGGUGAGGGGCUCAAGCUGUGAUGCUGCUGGUUUUAUCUCUAGUGAAAUAAAGCCAAACAUUAUUUAAUUCCUGUCA
Cebus imitator (Panamanian white-faced capuchin) is the source of this 2302-nucleotide RNA transcript. It is a transcript of the gene named CLK4 associating serine/arginine rich protein, with no coding region annotated. NCBI's taxonomy places the organism in Eukaryota, Metazoa, Chordata, Mammalia, Primates, Cebidae. The record is from RefSeq and is a predicted model, not a curated record. The transcript is spliced from 21 exons.